Molecule: ribosomal RNA, 86 nt
Filed under: Achromobacter mucicolens
Lineage: Bacteria; Pseudomonadati; Pseudomonadota; Betaproteobacteria; Burkholderiales; Alcaligenaceae
Source: RNAcentral
CCUGACGACCAUAGCAAGGUGGUCCCACUCCUUCCCAUCCCGAACAGGACAGUGAAACGCCUUUGCGCCGAUGAUAGUGGACGGAC